This 334-nucleotide unclassified non-coding RNA is filed under the name soil metagenome. RNAcentral describes it as "partial contains 5.8S ribosomal RNA, internal transcribed spacer 2, and large subunit ribosomal RNA". The stretch from base 1 to 120 matches the Rfam family "5.8S ribosomal RNA", at positions 35 to 154 of the family's 154-position model. The record is from RNAcentral.
GAUGAAGAACGCAGCGAAAUGCGAUAAGUAAUGUGAAUUGCAGAAUUCAGUGAAUCAUCGAAUCUUUGAACGCACAUUGUGCCCGCCAGUAUUCUGGCGAGCAUGCCUGUUCGAGCGUCAUUUCAACCAUCAAGCCCCAGGCUUGUGUUGGAGCCCUGCGGCUGCCGCAGCCUCCCAAAACCAGUGGCGGGCUCGCUAUCACACCGAGUGCAGUAGUUUACUCUUCGCUCAGGGCGUGUGGCGGGUGCUAGCCGUGAAACCCCCAACUUCUCAAGGUUGACCUCUGAUCAGGUAGGAAUACCCGCUGAACUUAAGCAUAUCAAUAAGCGGAGGA